Molecule: long non-coding RNA, 1293 nt
Filed under: Struthio camelus australis
Lineage: Eukaryota; Metazoa; Chordata; Aves; Struthioniformes; Struthionidae
Description: lncRNA (ENSSCUG00000010048.1)
Source: RNAcentral
GGAUACUAUAAAGAUUCCUUCCUGAGAACUUUUAUUAUGUCUAAUUUCUGAAAGGAAAAAUAGCAAGAGUGAGUCAUUUCUGGUAUAUUUUCCAGAUAAGCAUGACAUGCAUCCAACAAAUAAUAGCAUGGCCAGGUGCUACAUCCUAUGUCAUGUCAGCCAAGUCCACAGCCAGCAGCUUGUGGGUGGGGGAAGGGAAUCCAAAAAACUCCAUGUGAGAGGUUGGAGGGAGAUACAAAAGCUUGAGAUAUACUACUUCUUUAUAUUAAAAAUAAGCCUAUGAUGCAACAUGAUUCACCUCUUAAGUGUGCAGCCAGAUCACUUCCCCUAGUUCAGCAUCAUCGUCACAGCCAGGGUCUGCCAAACACAUUUCCCGGUGAUCUGAACACCAAAUGUGUAACUCGUUGCAAAUGCAGCUAAAAGAAAUGCUCUCUUUCUUAUUGUUCUGCAGGGCUCCAAGAUACAAAUUUGCAUUUGGCACCCAGGAAUAUCCUGCUUCCAAGAAAGCUGGCCAACAAGAAGUCCUAGAAAUAUCACGAGGAAAUUCCGAUAUUCUGAACAUCUUCUCCAGCCAACUAAAUAUGUGCAGUAGUCCUAUAAUGUUCACUUCUAUGGGAGUUUUACCAAUGACUUCCACAAAUCCUAAAUUCAGAUGAGCUUUCAAGACACAUCUGAAUAGCUAGAUGCUUACCUGACCUGCACCUAACCUCCCAACCUUUUGUGGCUGACAUCAUCACUUAAUAUCGUAUGUGCAAGUGUACAGACACUACGGACAGAUGCACACAGACUGCUACAACAUCAUUUACUUUCACUUUUUUUCCCCUUGAGCUCCUUUUACUGUUCAUGGACAAGUUUCUUCCUCUGCAUCAUCAACUUCUGGGGCUGCCUGCCCUACAUGGAUGACAGGUUAAGGAGUAUAAUCUGUCUGGUUAUACGCCAGGAAGCAAAAAUCUAAUUUUAGUAAACAAGUGUUGAUGUAAAAGGUCAUCAAAGUCUGUCAGCCCUUACGUGGGAAUCGGGAAUGAAGCACUGAAAAGUGGGGAUGUUGCCAAGAACAUGACUCUAAUAGCUUAACAUGCUGCCAGUGACAUGUAGGAGUGUCAAAGGCAAGAGGAUAAAUCCUUGAAGGACGAGAUAGAUCCUGCCUUUGCUGGUCUGGAGGAAAAAAUACUGAAUACAUAUGAUAUACACCUCCUGCUAGUGCAGGAGGGAUAGUAACUGGCAAAAGCAAUAGGAUCAGUUUUAGUCAUCUCAGUUAAUAAACGUUGCUGGCCAGAUUGUAAUUAAAAACUA